Molecule: RNA transcript, 8726 nt
Organism: Talpa occidentalis (Iberian mole)
Lineage: Eukaryota; Metazoa; Chordata; Mammalia; Eulipotyphla; Talpidae
Gene: USP46
Gene name: ubiquitin specific peptidase 46
Exons: 10
Source: RefSeq, a predicted model, not a curated record
CCAGAGAAUAGGGUGUGGACAACUAUGAGGGCCCAUUAUUCUGUCAUAGGGACUCACUGAACAUAGGGGUGGUCAGUGAAAAAUCCCAUGAGAAGGAUGGUAGGGAACCAUCAGGUGAAGAACUGGGGGAGAGCAUUUAGGUGAUGUGGGGGAGGGAACUUGAGAUCUUUGGGCAAUGAAGGUGAUCGUGAUAGACCAAGUGUGUGAGAGUGUCUUCCCCAUGGAAGUCACUGGGAGAGUCUAAAGCAGAUUUGUGUUUAAAAAGAGCACUGUGGCUGCUGUGUUGGCAGUGGGGUGGGGGUGGUAAGGUGGACGUGGAAGCCACUCUUUUAAUUUAGAAGAGAGAUGCUGGUGGGCUGGCCUUGCUGGUGGAGAGAGAUCAAACAGAAGAGACUGGACUGGACACCGAAGGAGAGUGAAUCAGUAGGACAUGGGCACCAAUGCCUCUGCUCUGGAAAAAGACAUUGGUCCAGAGCAGUUUCCAAUCAAUGAACACUACUUCGGAUUGGUCAAUUUCGGAAACACGUGCUACUGUAACUCCGUGCUGCAGGCACUGUACUUCUGCCGGCCGUUCCGGGAGAAUGUGCUGGCAUACAAGGCCCAGCAAAAAAAGAAGGAAAACCUGCUGACGUGCCUGGCAGACCUCUUCCACAGCAUUGCCACACAGAAGAAGAAGGUUGGCGUGAUCCCACCAAAGAAGUUCAUCUCAAGGCUGAGGAAAGAAAAUGAUCUCUUUGAUAACUACAUGCAGCAGGACGCUCACGAAUUUUUAAAUUAUUUGCUAAACACUAUUGCGGACAUCCUGCAGGAAGAGAAGAAACAGGAAAAGCAAAAUGGAAAAUUAAAAAAUGGCAACAUGAAUGAACCUGCAGAGAAUAAUAAACCAGAACUCACUUGGGUCCAUGAGAUUUUUCAGGGAACGCUCACCAAUGAAACUCGAUGCUUGAACUGUGAAACUGUUAGUAGCAAAGAUGAAGAUUUUCUCGACCUUUCUGUCGAUGUGGAGCAGAAUACAUCUAUUACUCACUGUCUAAGAGACUUCAGCAACACAGAAACUCUGUGUAGUGAACAGAAAUAUUAUUGUGAAACCUGCUGCAGCAAACAGGAGGCCCAGAAAAGGAUGAGAGUAAAAAAGCUGCCCAUGAUUUUGGCCCUGCACCUAAAGCGAUUCAAGUACAUGGAGCAGCUCCACAGGUACACCAAGCUCUCUUACCGGGUGGUCUUCCCGCUGGAACUCCGGCUCUUCAACACCUCCAGCGAUGCAGUGAACCUGGACCGCAUGUACGACCUGGUUGCAGUGGUGGUUCAUUGUGGCAGUGGUCCUAACCGCGGGCAUUAUAUUACCAUUGUGAAAAGUCAUGGCUUCUGGCUUUUGUUUGAUGAUGACAUUGUAGAGAAAAUAGAUGCCCAAGCUAUUGAAGAAUUCUAUGGCCUGACAUCAGAUAUAUCAAAAAAUUCAGAAUCUGGAUAUAUUUUAUUCUAUCAGUCAAGAGAAUAACUUAAAGAACUGUGGGACUAAUUCAAGUGGGGGAAAUGUUCAGAGCACUGUUACCUGGUUUCCCUGCAGACCGCCUUCUUCCCCAGCGGCCCACGAACGAGUCUCUUAAUUGACCUUGCCUGAGAGAACAUUCUGUGCUGAGACAACUGAAAAUAAACACCAGAAAAAUGUAAGAGUGAGCCUUCAUACCUUCUGCAGCAAGCUAAAUCUCUUCACUAGAGAGCUUCUCUCCAGGUUGAGAAUUGCCUGUUUCCCAAACUGAGACGUAGAAAAACACUUUUUAAUGGGUUAUGAAGCCCAUGCGAAGAAGCAGCUCAUUCUAUUGCCCUCUCCAAGUUACCCCUCCCUCUCCUCAUCCCAGAAUAAAUGGUUUGAAAAUUUUUUGCAAAGAAGUUGCUUCUGCAUCUUUUUCUACCUCCUCAAUCCCAAAGCCCAGAGAACAACAAUAAGUAUAAGUUGCUAACUUGCACUUUAGAGGUUUCAGCAGAAGUAGGAGAGAAGGCUGUGGCAUGGAGAAGAACCUGUGCCCUUCAUGCUUGUGGAUUUGCUUGGUGUUUAAAGUCUGUCAUCUGAGGUGUCUGUGGAAGUUUUUAUGAAGAACAAACACCACAGAAUCUGCCCUCAGAUAGGAAUUUAUAUAGAAUGUAGGAGUAUAAUGAGGUGUGAAUCUCAGCGGAGAAACAGAAGAGGGUAGUCCUUCUAACAUUACUGCUCAGUUUCUGACCUUGGGUCUCACUCUAACCCCUGUCCCAAUCUGUGUGCUUUCCCUGGAGACUUAGAGGGUCCCCUGUGGACCCCACACCUGUCCCUAGUUCAUAUACAAAUUCAGGUUCUAUGUGCUUUCUGUUGUCCUGACCGGGAUCUCUCAUAGAACUUUAGACUCAGCAGUAGUGUGGAAAAGCUCUCUGGACCUAGAACCCAAGUCCAGGUACUAGUGUGGAGAUCUAGUAGGGAUGAGGGGGAGAAGCAUCAGAAAGCUUAAAGGCUUGAUUGAGUUCAAGUCCUCACUGGCUUCCUGUGUGAUGUCACAGCCUUGUCACCUAAGUCAGAUGUUGGCCAUAGUGUUGGGAUUAGGAUGCUAAGGACUAUUUUUUGGUAAAGAAGCUUUCCCUCAGGUUCUCAAGGGUGAUGAAGACAGAAUUGCACAACAGUGGAAAACAUGUAACUAGUUCCUUACAUAAGAAGUUCUGAGAGGUGGUUACCUGAAAAAAGAAAUAGCAACAGUGUACAAAAACUAAAUAAGUUCUGGGGUACUGUACUACUGUUGAGUUUUACCUAAACCCUAUAACAUCUUUCAGGCACGAAGGACAAGAUUGUGUGGAGCUGAGAAACAGAAAAGCAGCUCCUGACAGCCAGGGACUGGCCCACAGCAGCCCCGCCUUGCCUGCUGCUCUGAGCUGGCCUGGUACUCCCCGGGCCACAGUGGUUUCUGGGUGAACAUAAACAAUCUCAAAGAACACUAACCUCAGACAAGGUCAUGCUGAAAUGAGCAUAAAGCAUUAUGAAGUGAGACAAAAAGCAAGACCACUUCAUAGUUUUAUCUGCAUAGACAAAAACAAGGUCACUGUAAACCCCCAGAUACCAAACAUCUCUUUCCCUCCUUCACGUCCAAGUCACAGCUGCUGCUUAUACGAUGAUGACACUUAGCUUUGUUGUCCUGCUAGUUAGAUGAGAUUUAUUAAGAUGUACAUGAUGAAGGAAUUAUCCCCACUUUGGAAAGCACACAACAGGAGUGAACCCCUAUUCCUUGAACCCUCCCCUAAGAACCAAACCAAAGCCCCAAUCCUGUAAGUUCUAACACCCUCUUAUAGCACUGCCCACCGUGUGUGGUCUCACUGCUGUGAACAUCAAACAGUUUGUUCAACCACUCUUGUGUUCCUGGUGGUCUGGCUGGGGGAGCCCUAACUGAGGAGAUAACCACUUCCUCGGGUCAGCCUGGGUCUGCUCGUCUCAUGGGCGGGAAGGAAAAAGCCACACACAUUCAAGGUUUGUCAUUAGUGUCCCACCACCUAAUGAUCUAUAGGAACUCCUAUCCAGGAGGGGUGGUGGUGUUGGGCUGGGUGCCAAGGCAAGCUUAAAAGUAACUGACUAAAUCAGGAUCUCAGUUUUUUCUAACCCGUAGAGUUAGGGAGAUCAGGGUUAUGAUGGAUGCUGCAAAGCACGCCAGGCAUAUUACAUGGUGGUUAUGAGCAGGAUAUGGUAAGACUGACAGGCUUUGUUCAUUGUCUAUGCAUUCUUGGCACUUCCACACCCGUCUUUAUGUCUCACAGGCUCACAUGUGUCUGUCUGUAGAGCCAAUGACAGAACCUCUAUAUGAGGCAGGAUCUGAAACUAAUCAGAUGGGGCCUGAGUGCCUUCUGCAGGAAAGGCACAAAGUCUAUUUCAGGAAUUCCAAUCUUCUGCUGAGAAGAUCCCUGUUCUGUCUGGAUCUUGUUAUGUAUGCCAAUAAACUUUCUAGAAUCAAGAGUUAAGAGCUGGAGUCGGCAGUGAGAAGUGGAGAAGGCAGAGGGGCCUAGAGGUAAUUGAGGAUAUAGUGCAGGGUCUAGUGCCCUCUGCUGGGAAUUUUUCCUGAACUGUGGCAUGUCCUGUUUUUAUUUUAUAUACAUUAUUUGUUCAUGGUCUGCUAAAAACAAACCAAACCCGACCAUUUUAAAUCUAAAUUGAGGCUUAAGUUUAACAGGCUCUCCCCUAUCUGCAGGAUCGAGCAGGAGAACGAGGGGCCACCAGGGUGAAGGAGAGAGGUCAGAGUGUCUUGAAGACCGAGUCCUCUAGUUCAGGCCUAGGCAGGGUCGGUCAUUGAGUGAAAUAAAUGCCUGCUAUCAGGCAAGAGUGGAGGCACCUGUGAAGCGUUGAGAACAAUUGAUUCCUGUCCCUAUUUAGAUGUCACAAAGCAGAAAAGGAAGAAAAAGAAGAAAGAAACACAGCAUAUUGGAGAGAUUGAUAUAAGGAUUGAAAUGAAAGAUCUGAGAGCCAGUCUCUUAUUUGGGAGGGUGUGGGAGAAUGCCCCUCAGUAAGACAGCUAACAUGACUAAGCCUGAUUUUAAAUCCUUACAGCUCUGAGGGCAAAUACAGUUUUGUUUCUCCUAUUCGCAUUCUGAUUAAAAUUCUUUGCAAGCUAUUGAUUUCUUUGUUGCACAAAAACUGUAAGAGUUCCCCAAAGUAAUAAAGGGUUGGCACUAAUUUGUUAUUUUAGAAUUUAUGGAAAAUUGUUAUGUAUUUUGCAGCAUUCUUGCAUUACUUUUGCUGAGGCAUUUCUUUGUAGUCAUGUCUGCUGAUCUCAAAUUAUAGGAUGUGUAAUGGAACUUUAAUCACAUUAGGCUCAGGAUUAUUCUCUUUUCCAUUUGGACAGAAAGUCUAUAGUGACAUCUGAGAACAGGAGCUGUGAGUAGGUGAAGGAUGGAAAUGUGAGAAUGUUCAAUAAAGAAAUUGCAAAGCGGCUCUGAAGGAGCAGGGGGGACGUCGAGUUAUCCUUCCUCUGCUCAGCUGCUUGGUGCCUGGCUUCUGUCACACGCAGGUCUUGAUAAAGUUCACUGAUAGAAUUUUUUUUUUUAAGAUUUGUUUGUUUAUGUAUACAAGAACUGGGGUGCAGGCCAGAGGUGCAGAGAGGUGAGGAUUCACCAGAGACAGAGUGGGGAGCAGAAUAGGCGGAUCCACUGAAAUACACUGCUGAGGGGAGCAGCGGGGAGACAGGAGAGGUCUGCUGCACCAUGUGAGUAGCUCCCUGGUUGGGGAUUGAACUCAUGCUACAAUGGCUGCCUAUAGCUUCAUAGUGCUGAGACUUCACCCCUUGCGUCACAAGGGAGGCCCCUAGAAUCUAUUUUAAAGUAGAUUUUAGAAAAGACAUUUUAUUUUAAAAUGCUUUAUUAUAGGACAUUUUAAACAUGCAUAAAUGUAGAGAACAGAAUAUUGAACCUCUACAACCUCUCUGCUCAUCCCAACAGUUAACUAUGGACAGUCUUGUAUCAGAUGGAUGGAAUUCUCAGAUCGUAUUGGAAAGUCACCCAGGGUAACAAGUCCCUAACCCUUUAGGAUCUCUGAACCCAGAAAGGGUAAAUGAGGUGUUAGUACAGUUCAGAUUAACCACCAGCUGUGAAGGAUGGGCCAUUUAUUUUGUCAUUCCUCUAACUUUAAAUGUUUGGUUUUUUUUUUAAAAAAAAGAUUUAUUUACUUGUAUAAGAACUGGGGUACAGGCCAAAUGCACGGGAGGGUGAGAGGAUUCACCAGGGACAGAGUGAGGAACAGAACAGGCAGACUGACAAAAUACACUGUUGAGGGGAGCAGCGGGCGAGACAGGAGAGGUCUGCUCGCCACGUGGGACCCUUGCCGGCCAGCCAGGAUCCAACUGGUGCUGCAGAGGCUGCGGACAGCUUCACAGCGCUGCACUCAACCGCCUGCGCCACCAGGGAGGCCCUAACUUGAAGUGUUUUGUGAUAACAAUUUUAUGGUUAAAGUAGACUUAGCUUGUUUAAUGGCUAAUGUGAAAUACAAUGAAACUGAAGCUUCAGUGAGGGUGUCCACAUUUAUUUGGGAAAUUCGAUGAAAUGAAUGACCCUCUAUAACUAAGAGAAUAUAGACCAUAGUCUGUGCAUAUUGAUUCAAAAGUGAAAACUACCUGUCCCUCCACCCCUUUCUGGAAUUUUCCCAAAGGAAUGGGGUCAAGCUCAAUGUUUCUAUUUAUCUCUUCCCUUUCCUGUUGGUAUUUUCCCUCACAACAUACCAUUAGUAGACUUCACUGAUCAUUAUAUUAAAUCAAAGAAUGGUAGAGAGGAAAGGAGUCCUGGGAUAACAGUGCAAACUUUCCAGUGUCUAAGUAAGGAACCAGCAGCCCUGAGGUCUUAGCAAGACUUGCCUGCAAUUCUUUCCAUGUCUGUAUCACCUAGAGUAAGGUAGGGGAACUGGGGGCAUUGCCCUGGUGGUGCAGCAGGGUUGCUGUUCUGUGUGUGGUGCUUCCCUGCAGCAGGAAAGGAAUGCAAGCUUCGUGUCAGCUCUCUGAAUGUCCCUGCAGACAGGACCCAGAGCGGCAGGGUCUUGGCAGCCAAGGCAGAGCAGAAACCAAAGGCUCUUGGGUGCAGAACCUCAUCCUUUCCAACCUCAUCAACUAAAAAUGAACCAAAGUUGAGGUUUUCAAACUCUUCAUCCAGAAGCCCUGCUUUCAGCUGGGUGUUUGUUGGCUCUGCUGGUUAAGUGAACCCAGCGAUAGGUUUACUGUACUCUUUCAAGUAUUAGUUAUUUUUAGCACACGUUUAUUGAGCAGUUGCUUGUGGCAGAUACUGAGCUUAGCGUCCUGCAUGAGUUACUUCAAUGGGUUCUCACAACAGCCUAUGAUACAGGUUCCAUUAUUAUUAUUCCUAGAAAUCUGACUUUAGAAUUCCUAGAAAUCUGUUCUGAGGCUACCAGAGAGGGAGGGAGUGCAGAAGCAAAGCAGGAAGGGGGCACAAUGGACUAUGAUACAUGAUUAUGAGAGCUUUGGUGGUGGGUGUGAUGUGGUAACACAUCUGAAGAGGUGUGACCCUGUUGCCCCUCAAGCCUACACAGUGUUGUAAACCAGUGAUAGCACAAUAAAUAAAGCAACAAGCAAAACACCAAAAAAAUUAAUUCCCAUCUAGACAUGAGAAAAUGAAUCUGGAACUUCAGAAACUGUUUUUGUUUUUAUUUUCCCUUGGAGCUCUCUGUUCUGGAGAUCACCCAAGGUACCUGGUUCAAAUUCCAGAUACAAAUGAUGAGGUGGCUUAGAACCAAGAUUUUGUUUCUCUGAUGACUAAAUUUUUCCCAGAUAAUAACACGACAGUUAAGGGCAUGGGCUUUCAAGCCAAACAAAUAUGCAGUUAAAUAUAGGCUCUGCCACUUGGCAGAUUGUACCUGACCAGUCUCGAUUUCCUCAUCUGGAAAACAGGGAUGAUGAUAAUAGUCCUGUACCUGGCACACUAGCUGAUAACUGGUGGUGAGGGUGAAAUGGAAUGAAGAUUUCAGGCGCAUAAUACAGCCCCCUGCUGCAGUGCUCAGUGCAUUUCAUGGUGGAAUGUUAAGUGUCCAAAAAGUUUUAACUGAUAUUGAUUCAUUAUUAGACCUGGACGAGUUGAACACAAUGGUGUCCAUUAUUCCUUCAGCUUAAUAUAUUCAGAAUAGGAAUAAGUAAAGCAGCCUGGAUUCAUUUAAUGAACAAAAGUAGGACUAUGCUGACAUUAUUCAGCUUAAUUCUUUUUUUCUUUAAAGCAUGGCCACCUCUCUGAGAGACCCCAGAUCUGCUGUGGCCUGUUCUAAGCUUAGCUGCUCAACACAUGUGCUUUUGCUGUAGGCCAGUGAAAUAAGCAGAUCAGGGUCUCGGGAGAGGUAGAUGCUGUUUUGGGCAGCCUGUGACGGAGACAGCAGAAAGAGCUGGUGUCACCAAGUCAUCACUCUUGCCGUUGGAGCAAACUUUUCCUGUAAGUAGCUUUGAGAGAGAUUUUGCCUGCUGGGAGCUGUUCAUGCUGCUGGUGUCUAAUGAAGUCAGUAUUUUCUGCAAAGUCUGGUCUCUGGUGUUCCUCCAGCGCAGGCAGCAUGGCCCAGCCAGCACAGCUGGCGUGCCGAGGCCCAGCUUUCCGAUACUGCAGUGUCUCCACGCCCUAUGGCGUGGAGUGGGCAGGGUGAAGGUUGCCCAGUCCCUUCUCAGGCCCUGCCUGUCCACCCAAGAUUGCCCAGAACACACUGCUCCAAAUUUGUAGCAAUUGGCAGCUCUCUUCUGUGCCAUUCAGGCAUCUCUUAUUCAAAACACUGUGGGUUUCACCAACUCUACUCAGACAGAACCUUAUCUUUUCUUUCAAAAAACACUUUGUGUUAUUUUAAAAAUAAAAUUAGUUAAUUCUCAGUGUCUACGAUUAGGAAAAAGAAGACUCUUCACAAUGCUUUUUUGCUAUUUCUUUUUUCUAAAUUUUCUGUUUCAUUGAGGCAGCGUUGGGUUACAAGACUGUAUAUGAUUUUAGCAAAUAGGUUCACACCUUCUCAUUGCCACAUCUACCACCAAGGCACCCAAGACCUACCAUAGACCAUUGGGUCCCCACCCCUUUGUUCGGCCUCCUACUAGCCUCCGUUCUGCAGUUAUAUUACUAAGGCUUGUUUUUGCCAUUUCUUGCCCCCAACUCCAUUUUCUUCCCCAAUGGUAAUUACUAAUAAGAGUUUGUGGAAGGCCCUUAAUGUGUGCAUUAAUACACACAUAUAUGAACAUAGAUGCGUAAACAUGGAUAUACGUAUU